UGAGGAAUAUUGGUCAAUGGGCGAAAGCCUGAACCAGCCAUGUCGCGUGCAGGAAGACGGCCCUAUGGGUUGUAAACUGCUUUUGUAUGGGAAGAAACGACGGUACGAGUACUGUUUUGCCGGUACCAUACGAAUAAGGAUCGGCUAACUCCGUGCCAGCAGCCGCGGUAAUACGGAGGAUCCAAGCGUUAUCCGGAUUUAUUGGGUUUAAAGGGUGCGUAGGCGGGAGAUUAAGUCAGUGGUGAAAGUUUGCGGCUCAACCGUAAAAUUGCCAUUGAUACUGGUUUUCUUGAGUACAGUUGAGGUAGGCGGAAUGUGGUGUGUAGCGGUGAAAUGCUUAGAUAUACCACAGAACACCGAUUGCGAAGGCAGCUUACUAAGUUGUGACUGACGCUGAAGCACGAAAGCAUGGGGAUCAAACA
Molecule: ribosomal RNA, 422 nt
Filed under: uncultured bacterium
Lineage: Bacteria
Description: bacterial SSU rRNA
Rfam family: Bacterial small subunit ribosomal RNA
Source: RNAcentral